GUCUUUGUAGUAUAACUAUUACCCUGGUCUUGUAAACCAAAAAUGGAGAAUACCAUAACUCUCCCUAAGAC
RNAcentral lists this transfer RNA (71 nucleotides) under Otaria flavescens (South American sea lion). RNAcentral's name for it is "Otaria byronia (South American sea lion) tRNA-Thr". Lineage: Eukaryota; Metazoa; Chordata; Mammalia; Carnivora; Otariidae. The record is from RNAcentral.